Molecule: long non-coding RNA, 1224 nt
Organism: Notolabrus celidotus (New Zealand spotty)
Lineage: Eukaryota; Metazoa; Chordata; Actinopteri; Labriformes; Labridae
Exons: 4
Source: RefSeq, a predicted model, not a curated record
ACUCGACAGAACACCGGGCAGGGACAACAACCGAGCGCUGCGGCAACGUUUCAGGUCACAGUGAGGAGCUCUGUCUGCCAGCCCUGGUCUCUGCUUUGACUCUGCUCCCACACUGGAUAAGAGAUGUUAUCCAGCAGCACUCUGAGAGUUCCCACAUUAUGACCCAUCACACGAUAGUCAAAGGUGAGGCAGAAGCUGCCCUGCUGGGUCCGAUCACUGAGGAGCAACUUAAGCCUGGCUACAUCAUCCUGCUCCCCUAUGAGACCACUCAUGAUCAUGUAGUACUCAGGGCCAUCUCCUGAGGGGGUUGCAGAACACUGAAAUUGUUUGCUUGUUCUACAAAUCAAAGUCAGAACACUUCCAACCUGGGCCAUGCUUACUCUUUUUUCUACAAAAUACAUAAUUCUUCCAGGGCACUAUUUCAGCUGCCUACCAUUGGUCAAUACUCAUAUCCAGACGCUGUGUAGAAACGAGGAAAAUCUCUCUGACUAUGCUGUAUGGUUACUACAUCAUGGACCACCCGAAACAUCAACAACAGGCUCACUGCUACAGAGCCAAACAGGAGUACACUUACUGAAAACAUCUCCCCUUGGAUUGAGCUGGUUGUCUUCCACUUCCUCCUCCUCCUCUUCUUCCUCCUCAGGAAAUUUCUCCUCCCGUCUCUGCUCGGUCUGGGAGCCAACAUAGACCUCUCCAUCAUAGUCGAAAGGCUGCUGACGGAUCCUGGGAGGCUGCGUGGCAACUGGUUCGGGGAUUACAUUUUUGAUGUCCUCAUUGUCUUGCUUCGGCCUCACUUGGGAGUCUGGUAUGGCUGCAGGCAGGAAGAGGAAUCAGAGAAGACAUGUGGAAACACGAUCAUGAGCAGGAAGUACAGUAUUUUACAAGGAUUCUGGAUGUGUUCGUCGUUUGUUGUCAUCUAUUUCGCAGCUGCUGUUCUUCUACUCCAUGCAGAGGGUCAUGCUGAGGAUUCCAGGUCUUCUAUCAAGCUGUGGACGUACAACACUUUCAGCCAUAAGCAUGGGUUACAGUUUGAGGAGGUGAUCUUAAAAGAAGCUACGAGGAGAUAAAGAAAAAGGUAGCAGGGCAGGUAGCGAACGACGGCAACAGAAGCUUGGAUCCACACAAUCUCACCAUUGAGGAAAUCAUCUGCACUUCCUUUGUCUCCAUCCCACGGCCUCUGAUAAAACGGCUUGACUACAGAAAAAUAAAGGCAUCUUCAUUUGA